This 301-nucleotide ribosomal RNA is filed under the name uncultured Actinomycetes bacterium. RNAcentral describes it as "bacterial SSU rRNA". It matches the Rfam family "Bacterial small subunit ribosomal RNA", at positions 9 to 304 of the family's 1533-position model. Lineage: Bacteria; Bacillati; Actinomycetota; Actinomycetes. The record is from RNAcentral.
GAGUUUGAUCGUGGCUCAGAAUAAACGCUGGCGGCGUGCCUAACACAUGCAAGUCGAGCGAGUAAAGUUCCUUCGGGAACUAGUAAAGCGGCGAACGGUUGAGUAACACGUGAGAAUCGUACCCUUCAGUGAGGAAAUACCACCGAGAAAUCCGGUGUUAAUACUGUCAUACGUACCCUUUCGGGGAGUAAAGGUGGCUUUAAAUGCUGCCGCUGAUGGAUGAGCUUGCGAGCUAUCAGUUAGUUGGUGAGGUAAUGGCGUUCACCAAGGCUAUGACGGCUAUCCGGCCUGAGAGGGUGUA